Molecule: ribosomal RNA, 670 nt
Filed under: Parachtes riberai
Lineage: Eukaryota; Metazoa; Arthropoda; Arachnida; Araneae; Dysderidae
Description: 12S ribosomal RNA
Source: RNAcentral
AAUAAAUUAAUAUAAUCAAUAUUUUAACAUUAAAAAAUUACGAUUUAAUUUCUCUAUCAACUUAACAAUAUUUUUCCUUUACAAACCAAAAGUUUUUUUAUAAAAUGUAAUAAAAUUUGUGCCAGCAAUUGCGGUUAAACAUCAACCUUAAUUAAAACCCUCCCAAUUACCCUAAAACUAUUUACCCAACAAUUUAAAGUAAAAUUUAGUUUUAAAAAAUUCUUAAAGUAAUUUUAAACUUUCAACUAAACUAGGAUUAGAUACCCUACUAUACUAAGUAAUAUUCAGGUAGUAGCACCUUAAGAAAAACCUAUAUAUUUUGGCGGCGAAAUAUUAUAAAGGAACUUGUUUGUUAAUCGACACUACUCGAUAACUUUUACCUUCUACUAUAGCUUAUAUACCGCCGUAUAAAUAAAUUCUAAAUACUUAACCUUAAAUUCUUUUUAAAAAUUCAGGUCAAGGUAUAGCCAAUUAUAAGGUUAAAAUUAGUUACUAUAAACAAUAUUUAUAGAAAAUGUAUAAAUUAAUAUAAAACAGGAUUUACUUUCAAUAUAUAAAUAAUAAUUAUAUAUGAAUUAACAUUAUCGUGCACAUAUCGCCCGUCACCCUCUAACACUAGAGGUAAGUCGUAACACAGUUGGUGUUCUGGAAAGAGUACCAUGAUAAUAAC